GCUCGUUCAGUCGUCGUUGCGUGUUGUAGGUGGCCUGGUCUACUGAGCUCCGUUUGGACUGCUCCUGCUCCAACUACUACUGCGGCCGCUGCUGCUGCUGCGGCUGCUGCAUCUGCAUCUGCAACCUGCAACACUCACACCACGGCAACAGAAAUAGACGCGUCGCGUUCAGUCCCCGUCCUACGGCCUAACGUCAUGUCGCGUAGUGUUCUGCCGAGUAAAGCUAGCAGACUGUAAGGUGACUGAACCGAUCCUUAACCCAUCACCUUCCUCUCCCACUCGAGUGCCGUGGAUGUGUGUCAAUUAAAAAGUCUCGUCUCAGUGAGUCGCGUGUUUAAUUUGCGGCACGUUCCCCACACACACUUACUAUCAAUUUAAUUAAAACGCCACAGACAGACCCAUAACUUCCGUAAAACCAACCAUCAUAACCUCCGAACCGGGCCCAAAACUAAACACAAUAUUGCGGCCAAGACCCAACUAACCGGCCAGAUCAGAAAGAGAUGAAAGCAUUAAUAAGGAAAGAGAUAGAGAGCGUCCAAAACCUAGCCCCGAAAAUCGAUAAACUGGCCAUCCCCCUCGUUAGCCCAUCGUUGCUGAGCUCACCGACUUUGCGGAAACGCUCACAUUUUGCCAUCGGAGAUCGAGGAGCAGCCAGGAGGUCCAGGGCAAAGGCAAAGGCAAUGGCAACUGCCACGGCAAAGGCAGAUGCUGCGUCAAUGGCAACGAGAGGAUCCAGGACAGCAGACACAUCGAUGAUUGCACAUGGCUUAAAGACCCAACGGAGCCAGUUACUUGGCUACUCCCACUGCCACUCCCAUUCCGCCCCCGCAUCAUUUCCUCGCAUUAAAAAUACAACGUCGGCAGAUACAUCAAUUGAAAAUGAGGCAAGGAAAGGCAUCGCAUCGCAUGGCAUCCCAACGGCAGGGCGAGUCGCAUCUGCGCCGGACAGCAAAGAACAGGAAUCGCAAAUCGAGAGAAGGGCUGAGAUAGGGACGACUGGGGAUAUGGGGCUAAGGGAUGGUUACUCCUGCUUCCCGGACAGGUUGCUUGCCCAGUGGCGGCUGUAGAUGUGGGGCCAGUGGGCCAGUGUUAUACUGGCCAUGACAGCAAGUAAACUGCAGCUGAGCGGGAUUUGAUACCACGAAUGCAUCCGUUGCUAAAGCCGACUCUUAAGUUUUCAAUUUGCUAGAUAAACCUAGGACUGUAUAAGAUACAUAGCGAUAGAGAUAGCAGGUAUCUGAUAAAUUGUGGAACUACGCUUAUUAUUAUUACUAGCAGCAACGUGAUAGAGAAGAAGUAAAUAUUUAUGAAAAAGGUGCAGAAAAUACGUAAGCAUGCUUGGGCUUCUUCAUUUGGUUUGCAGAACGUGUAAUUUAAGUGAGCCAGGGUACAAAAUGAUCUGCCAUAAAUCGCAAAAGUUCCCCAUAACUCCUCAGUUACGUCAUUUAACAAAUUUCACAAUUUCUGGGCAAUCAUGAGCCAUUUUCCUUAGCCCAUCCGUCGCUGCGAUAACUCAAUUCGUGGCGCAAAUUUGCUGAGACUGCAGAUUGUCUGCAGAGUGCUCCAUCUAUGGCAGCAUCUGUCAGCUUGGCAGCCGGGGACAGCCUGGCCAUAUGUCUUGGCCAUACAUCACGUAUAUGUGUAUGUACGGGUGUGCUGGCCACACCCUUGCGAAAGUAAACAGAAAGCGCUAUUUUCAUUUGCUUUAUCGCUCAGAGAGAUUGGAGAAGAGAAUAAGGUCCAAUCACUCGAGCCCUAAUACGCUUAGGCUGCUCAUAAUCACGCUUCAGCUAUUUGAGAUGGAUUGGUGGAAGGAAGGCCGACGGCUAUGGGGAAACCUACCAGAUAGUUUGCCCCAUUGUUCCUAUCGCAUUAUUACAUUUCUAUUUGCUUUGGGGCUAAGACUGCAAGGGGUUCAUCCGCUGGUCUCUGCCACAUUUCCCACUGGCUUAUUUAUAAGCGCUGUUUGUCUUAGCGUCCCGCCAAACUAAUAACUUUUCCGUUGUCCCUCCAUUGAGCGAUUUCCCUUUCUCCUCAUCUCCUUCCCUUUUCAUUUGUCUUUCUCCGUUGCACUUGACGUCUGGUCAGCCGCAGCAGGUCCCUGCACUUGAAAAACAUUUCCUGAGAGCUUUAGGGGGGCAUUUUAAUUAUUUUAGUAAUAAUAUUGAUAGCAUAAAAAAGAUUUGACAAUAAUAUUUAGUUAAGGCCUGCAGGCCGUAUUUAUUGAAGCCCUUCAAAGCUGCCUUUCCAACCACUAAACUUGUGCCAGUGUGCACAAGGAUAUCCACUUCCCUCUGCCUCGUCGGCAACUCCUUUUGAGAUACUUCCUGGCCUUUAUCGGGCGGCCACUUCCGCUCCACGUACACAAAUCACACGUCCCUUGGAGUCCGGCACUGUCUUCCGGCUAUUUAAAUUGACAUCCUGUUGGAGGUGACUGCUUCCUGGCUUCCUGCCGCCACCUAGCCCCCAAUUCAAUUUGCAAAAUCAUUAACACAUUUAGUCAAUAAGCCCUGGUCAGUGCUCUUGAGACGUUAGUGCCCUCUUUGGGGAUUAUUAUUCAUUUUUAUGUAAUUAUCUGCUUAGACCAGAGCCAAAGUAACCCCAGAGACAACUAGCAAGUAAGGAGGCUUCUUCUUUGUCCCUGCUACGGCUAUAUGAACAUCAACACGAGGGGUCUGUGAUUUUACGCACACAAAAUUAUCUUGAACAGGCAUUGGAUAAAAGCAUCCUGUUGUCCAGGUCCUGGUAAUAGCCAUGAAAUAUGGCCACAAUGUGUGAGCUCCUGUAGUUACACUUCGGGGCAGUUACUUCAAGUUCAGUAGGGACUUGGCGGAGAAUGAGUUUAGUUAACUGGGAAAGUACAGUGGAGCUACAGCGGAAAGGUUUUUAUUCUUUACACAAAAGUACAACGGAUCAGAUUUUAAAAUCUUAAGAACAGAUCAAGGCUACAUUCUUAAAAAAAAAAUAGACAUUACCACGUAGGUACUAUUUUAAGCUGCAUUUUCUCGAAGUCCAGCUCAUCCUAGCUGGCCAAAACACGUAUCAGGACGAGGUCCUUUUUAGUGCCACUGUUCGGUUUCAUCAUCAGGAGCAGCUGCAGCAUAAAAAAGAGGCGAACCAUUUAAGUUUAUGUGCCCAGUGUGUUAGUGUGUGUGCCUACGCUUCUCUCGAGCCUUAUUGUGUGUGCGUGUGUUAGUUUCAUAAUGUAACCGGAUGUGCCAACACAAUGCUCGCACAUCCGCUUGCCAGACAACAGGACAACAGCUGUCACACACACACACACACACAGAAGUUAAAUGCCGCUGCGCUUUUGUUUGCACAUCUUAAGGGAUCGAAAAGGAGCAGAGACAUUCCCAUUCCCAUGCCCAUUCCCUAUCCCGUUCCUAUACCCUCCGCCUGUGUCCUAGGCCAGCACUUGACAGCAAUUGGCGCAUUAUAAGAAGCAGCAGAGCAUAUAAUAGGGGCAUUUCAUAACAAGGAGGCGUGAGUCCACACAAGCAAACCCAACCAAAGCCCGAGCUACAGGCUCUGACAUAAUUAUUAACUGCAUGGACGUAAGUAAAUAUGAGGCGACCAAAUGGGCAGAGAUAACGAGGCCAUUGUAUGUUUACGCUAGUGUGAGUGCCUCUGCGUUAGUGUUGGUGCUGAGUGGGGAAAAGUGGGAAAAGGAAAAUGGAAAAGCGAACCGGGAACCGGGAACAGGGCAAAGAGAGCGACGAGCGGAAAAGCCCAAACAUUUAGCAGACAUGUCACGUGCCGGGCUCAUCAUUUAUGUUUUAGUUUUGGGUGUGCCUGACAAAACUUAAUUGAUUAAAAAUAAUAUUCCAGCUGCUUUUGCCUUGCGGCGGAGAAGCCAAGACUACAUGAAGCGCAUUUUAAUGAGCCGCAUAAUUAUUAAUGAAGCCGUAAGAGAAAAGCAAUUGUUUGUUAAGGUGCGAGAGUUUGUGUUAAGUGUAAUCUUUUAAGAGCUUUUGCGAAGCCGGAACUCAAACUUUGAAUAUACCCACUACAUUAAUUUAGCAAUUCAUUUUUUCACCUACUAGUAAACACAUUUUCUCACAAUUCGAAUCCGCCAGAUGUAACGCUCGCUUAAGAAUUUUAAAUUGAUAAACAGAAAACUUACCUUUUCUCCCUACACAAAAAAACCCUAACAUCAUCAACGUAUUUUUUAGCCUUUCGUUUUUCCCAAUUAUAUGUUGCUUGUUACUUAUCAGCUACAAUUUUUAAUUUACUCCAAUUUUUUGCGCUUCCGCCCUGUUGCUAAUUAUAAACUUUUUAAGUGGCUUAUUGGGACGUCUGCGGUUGCCUUGGACACGUCGCGUAUCCGCAGUGGCCCACUGCUGGCGGCAAGUCAUCAAGUGCUCUUUAACUUUUUACUUCGCCAAGAUGUUGCCGCCGAGUCCUUUUCACCCGAGGCUGGGGAAAAUGUAUUAUUUAAGGCGAGUAGUUCCCGCUUUGAGUGUGCACACAGUGCCGUUUAUGUGCAUUGAUAAUAAGUAGGCCACCCGUUUUUUAUGCUCUUUAGGAUGGCAUAAAAGUUUGAUUAAUGUUGGCCCAGCCCGGGAAUUCCUACGAAUUUUCUCCGCUUAUGCAUAUGCCUGUACGGGUCGCCGUAAAAUGGCAUUAAAACCAUAAAAACACCAGUCGCCACCAGCGACUUUUAACAGCCAACUCAUAAAUAUAAAAUCAUACAUAAAUGCGCAACGAAAAUCUCAUCACUUCCCCAGUGUGAGAGAAAAUAUUGAAUUUCCCGAAGUUGACCUUGCAUUUUCAGCGGACUUUGUUGAUGUGAUCGAUCACAAUUCGAUUUUUAGUAGACAUUAAGCUGCAUCGCGUGCCACGCCCACUGCCCGUAGGGGAAAACAUUUCUUACCUUUACCAGGAGUAAAAAAUGAUAGAAAAUCAGAGGGAAAUUCGGCACGAAAGGCAAACAUGAAGGGAGCAUGAGCAUGAACAGAACAUCUGCCAAUGGGGUGCGUCAACGAAAAUUUAUGAUGAUAGAUGGGGAAAACAUUUUCCAUAUGCAACAAGCUGCCAAAUUGUUUCAGAGUCAGCCAACUUCGGGAUAUAAAUGCUCCUAGCAAAAGCUCCUUAAACGUGUAUCAAUAAAUGAAUUGACUUUGCCAUAAAAUAUUUCAUGCUCCAUGUUCCGUUUUUCAUCACCCGGAAUUGCAUCACCAAAAGAAAUGGCAGUGGGUUGUAAAUAUUUAAUAUGCUUUUUGCAUGUAGCCCAUGAUAAAGUGCGUGGCGUUGGGCAGAUUAAUCAUAUCCCUGGGGAUCCAGGAGCUGAAACCUAGCACACCUAGUUGCAGCUGCUCUGGCUCUGGCUAUGGCAGCACCGAAAAAACCCAUUGUUCUUCCUUCCUCUUUCAUUUUGUUGUUUCUGCACAUUAUCAGCAUAAAUUCAAAUAAAAACGAGAGUAGCUGCUGUCUGUCGUCUGUGCAGCUAAAUAAAUGAUGUUAUAACAGAGCGAGAGAAGAGCAGACUGACAGGACACACAGGUCCUGGUUGCUGCCACCCAACCGUAUACAUUCCGCCCUCCCCAGAUAACCAGCUUUUUUGUUCGGUUCAACUUUGGCCAUUUUUCUUGCGCCCCAAAAGUUGACAACAGGCAAAGCGAAGGACUAAGCCAGGACACGUAUUCCAAGGGGCAGCAGCUGUCAGCCGAGAGCCAGGACAACAUGAUGGAGCUCAUCAACAUCAGUCGGCGGGAUAUAUGUGCACGUAUACAUGCCAUGCCCAAGAUGGGGGCCAACUGCCGAUGGUCUUAGGCAAAUGGAGCAACAAAAUGGCUGCCGAAGGAUAAAGACGCGUGCCUGGCCAAAUCCCGAGGCGUGAUUGAUUAAUAUUAUUCUCGGCUAAUCUAACUUAAAUGGGCCGCAGCACAGGAGGCGGCGAAUAUUACCUAUUCAGCAACCUCCUCGUCCUUUCCGAAAUGUGCGUGAGUGCCUCUCGUUGACUACGCUCCAUACAUAAUAAACACGCCGCGUGUUAAGUGCAGGCUAAGAGGAAAAAAAAAAAGCAAUUCCAAAAAUAUAUUUGCGAGUAUUUGGAGGAGCAUUUCAUCUCGUAUUUAUAUGCACGAAAGGUAGACACUGGGGUAACCUUGUUAUGCGGAAAUUUGUUAUGCAAAAAGCAAGGCUGCCGAGUAGAAGGCUCAAGCUUUUCUUUGUCAGCAGAAAGACACAAUAAACGUUGAAGUGGCGCAUUAGUUAUGUCCUAGCAGCAACAGAAAUCUUUUUUAGUUGCUUAUGAUUUUUGCCACAAUAAAAUUAAUUAAUCAAAUGAAGGUUGGACAAAUGGCCGAUGACAGCAUUUGUCCCGAGGCAGUGAGCUCCACUGAUUGCGCACUUCAAUCAAUAAAUGAAGCUCGUUAUUAAUUAAUGCAAAAAUGAUGGCACAAAGGCCACAACAGUUAAGGCAACUUUUCUGAUGCGAAUUGAACAACUGUCAGCAACAUGUUGCUGCUGUCCUGCCGCCGACUUUCCCCACCCGGAAAACCCGGAAAACUACCGCCUUUCCGCCUUGGAGGCCGGCGUUUGACAGUUGGCUCAUUUAUUUCUGCAAUUUUCCACCUGGCCAGCAACAACGGCAGCAGUUGAGUUGUUGACUUAAUUAAAAUAAUAAAUGAUUUUCGUCUUCUAUCCAAGGGUCAGCCAAAUUAAUUAAACUUUAACGGGGUGCAUAAUUGAUUACUAUAAAAGCUGAGGAAUGGUCUGAAUAAAUGCAUGGAAUGCCCAAUUCCGAGGACGUCCAAUUAAAAAUGAUUGAUUGAGUAAGAUUGAGCAAAAUAAUGAAAGACGCCUGACAACAAAUAAUAACAAUUUUAGAUCACUAUGCAUUCACUAGAAAAUACUAUGGUACGAGAUCACAGAUCAUACGCAGUUUACUACCUUCCUCAUUUUGUUUACCAUAAUUUCGAUUGCCAAAUAUUUUCUAUGAGCCCUUGGCCAAGGAAAUGAAAUUGCUUUGCAGCCCUAUCAGGUUGCCAAGAAUUUUUCAAUUAUUUUUGCGCCCUGCCUCAAAGGAGGCGUAUCUGCCAGAGCCAAGUUAUGGUUCGUCUUCUUCGAUCCUGCCCCGCUGCCCAGCCCCUUUUGGCCAUAAUUAUUGUUUGCACUUGCCGGAUGCAAAGUUUUUCAUUAGUGCGCAGCAAACAAAAAGGAGGGAAUAAUAAUAAAGAAAUGAAAAUCGCACAAAGUUGAAAAUCGCUGGUGAAAAGGGGCGAGUUGUCCGACUGCGGGACGCGUUUGCAAACGUGCCGGUGGCAUGCUUCAUUGGCUUGUGCAUUAUUUGUGCAACCUGGGUUGCAUCGUAAAAAAUGCAGGAGCAGCAGGCUGCCGCUGCAGCUGGAUCCUUUUGGCUGAGCACACGGGGCAGAUGGCAGAGGGCAAAGGGCACGGAUGACGAUGAUGGGGAUGAGGAAGGGGUGGGCGAGGAGUGGGGCUUAUGGGCGUGCCGACACGGACAUGCGAGAACAAGCCGCAGUAUUUAUGGUCCUGUGGCUGCCGGGGACAGCGACGAGUAAUGUGCAUCCACCUGCCCCCUUUGCUGCUCCUUCUCCCAGCUCCUGCUCCUGCUGGGCGUCGUCUGGCCAUAAAACACAAUCAAGCGUAAAAAUACAGGGCGGGCACUUAACCCGGCCAACACCAUCACCAACACCGACACCACCAAAGAGAGAGCCUCGACAUCUACGACACGUCAACGGUUUUUGCCUUUUAUGUGCAGGGUACUCGAAAAGGUCGCAGGGUAUAUUAUAUUCCCGAAUAUGUAUGGGUCCAACUACAGGUAACGACAUAAAAGCAAACCAGCCAGAAGGCAACUAAACAUGCUAAGCAGGUUUUUAGGAUAUGCAGGAACAUCUUAUUUGCUGACCACUAUUCUGCCAUGAGAACAUGAGUUUAUUAUCAAACCAUAUAUAAACCACUGAUAUGUAAUAUGUCUAGUAAAUAUAUAUAAGAAAUCUAAGAGGCAUCACAUAAUAAAGUAGUUUUAUUGCAGAGUACCUUUGUGCUGGCUACCCGAAGGUGUUGUAUUAUUUGUGGUCCAGUGGCUGCUGCUCCUUGGUAUUUAAAUAUUUUAAAAUGUUUGCUUAGCGCUCGGUGGCAGUCGAGCUGCUUUUGUCGCUUAUUUACUUAUGCCCGUGUUGCCAUUGCGUAUUAAAAUUGCAUGAUUUUAAUUGCACAGCUUGCAGGAGCGAUGGCAACAUCAUUUGAGCGUUUCUGCAACGACUGCAUUUAAUGUUGCGCAUACGCAACGUAGUCGCUGCACAUAAUGUUUGCGUUUGUAAUUGAAAGGGCGGAAGAGAUAGUAAUAUUCACGACCACGCCCACUAUCGCCCACCCGCCUGCCCUUUUCGCACGCAUAUCAGGCAGUAAAUCCAUAGUUCCCCAUGCCCCAUUUUCUGGUUAAAUAUUAUUUUUGCCAUUAGCCGCAGUGCACAGUGAGCUCGCUUCCAUUCCCGCUCCAUUACAUCCGCAGCCCCAUCCGCAUCCGCAUCCGCGUCCUUUCAUUCGGCGUGCUCAUUUCGCCAGUUGUUUAUUUAUUUGUUUUCCCUGAAUGCAGCUGCUGUGCCGACUUUGUUGUUUUUGCGGUGCAGUUUCUUAUUUCAUGGAAUGAAAAGCUAAACAGCAAAACGCAUUGUCUGGCACGUAAUGAUCGAAAUCGGGGGAAUGAGGAUGUUUAUGUCCUUAAAGUCCUUACACAACAGUAAACUCGAGCGCAAGUGAGACGCAAAACUUUUCUGUUUGAUUUCACGAACAGGAAUUGAUUGUCUUCCAUAGGGUACGACCAUAGACUCAACAUACCAUAUAGGAACACUCACUAUUUAAUUUCCGCCUAUAAUUAACAUUUUAAAAUACCAUUUAACAUUUUCCAAUUAGUUAGGCACUCUAAGCCACACUUAAUUAUGCGGAUAAUUGAACCUAUGAUGGCUGGCUUUUUUUGACUGUUUGCAAAACAUUAGUUUGCGAAAUGCACUCCACACUGGCUGCUUAUUUAAUAAGCAAUUUAAUGAUAUUUAUUUUUAUUUUAUCGAAAAAGGCGUACGCUUGAAGCGCCGAAAAUUCCCACACAUUGCAUUUAAUAAAAUAACAAACAAGAUGCACUAACAGCACAAACAUCAAAACAGCAAGCAAAUAAACGGGGAAAAUAUAGAAAGUAGAGGAAAGCGCGCUAAUGGCAACUUUAAUGCUUCGGCUACGAGUAUAUAUGUACAAACAUAUAUACAUUUAUUUUUGGGCUUGGGGAGAUCUGUGGGCAUAAGGAUGCGCAUAAUGUGCAAAGUUUGCGACGCAAACUAAUUUCAAAGUAAUUACGUAGCACAAAAGUGUUGAUAUUAGACUGCAGGAAAGGGGGCAGAGCCAGCUGCAAAAACAACAUGACAAAAUGUCGUCAGCAGACUACAAAAAGCCCCAAAAGCCAAAAAAAUACAACUUGCCAGCCAAACAGCUGCACAAAUGUGAUGAGUUUACACCAGCAUCAGCCCCCUCUCCACCGCCCCAACAAUCGAGUCACGAAAGCGCCACGUCAGCGCGGCAUCAUCAAGUCCUUUACCGACUUGCUGGCGCUCUCAACAAGCCCCAAAAAUGCAAUAAAAUAGGGAAAACUUCUUAGGCAGAAGCGCCGUCAAAGCUUUUGACUUUAAUACGCGGUCUGGGAGAAAUUAAACUUGGUAUCUGAGUAUCUGGCUUCAUUGGGACUCCCCAGGCGAUAUCCUAAGUAGCCUCAUUUUCCCCCCAGCCGAGCAGUUUUCUUUUUAUUUGUGUAAUAUUUUACAAUUUCAAAAAGUAAACGAAAAUGGCGAAAUAUGAUGGCCGUUUGGGGAGCAAGCGGGCAAUGCACUCAAAGAAAUUAUACCUUAAUUGAGUUUUAUUGGCUACUUGUGUUAUUGGUUUUUUUGUGUUAUUAAUAACAAAUAAUUAAUCUGUUUAAAUGGCAAGCUGGUAGAAGAUUGUCAAUGCCGAUUUUCUAUUUAACUUAUAAAUUGUUUUAAAGUGUAUAUAAAGCUGGAGGCGCUGUAGGCAACUGGACGAGUUUUCCCAAAAGGCGCCAACAGGAAGACGAAACUCAGUAGCAAAACACACAGAUACACACACUCAAUACACACUCGGCGGAAACGGAAGCUGGAAAAACAAGGAACGCCGGGCGACAAAAACAAAGGCAAAAGCCGGGUAGCAGAAAAGCUUCAGCUGCAAAACAAAAGCAUGAGCUCGGGGAAAUUUCACUAGAAAGCGGCUAGAAACUAGAAAAAUAAUUGCAACAGAAAUAAGCCAAAAGAAGCAAAAAUGAACGCGUUUGAAAUUUCACUUCUAGACCUAGACAUUCACUUAUAAAUCGUAGACACAAAUCUAAAUACCAUGCGAAAAAAUAAAUAAUGUGUAUUUUUUUAAUCCAUAAUUCAUUUUUAGGAUAAUAUGUAAUUUCAAAUUUAUUACAAGACAGCUACAGAUAAAUUGCAAAAACCUUUUAAAA
This is a long non-coding RNA of Drosophila yakuba, 10471 nucleotides long. RefSeq lists it as uncharacterized. The record is from RefSeq and is a predicted model, not a curated record. The transcript has 3 exons. NCBI's taxonomy places the organism in Eukaryota, Metazoa, Arthropoda, Insecta, Diptera, Drosophilidae.